GUCUGUGUGAAUGCAUAUGUGACAGGUGACAGAGUGUGUGAGGGAGAAGGUGACAGGUGGAAGAGUGUGGGAGGUUGUGACAGGUGGCAGAGUGAGGGGGUACCUGGUGGCAGAGUGAGGGAGGGAGGGGUUGAGUGGAGGCAGAGUGAGGGGGAGACACAGUGAGUGGGGGUGACUGGCGACAGAGUGAGGGACUAGUGACAGAG
Non-coding RNA from Pelobates cultripes (western spadefoot toad), 206 nucleotides. NCBI's taxonomy places the organism in Eukaryota, Metazoa, Chordata, Amphibia, Anura, Pelobatidae. The record is from the annotation of a GenBank genome assembly.